UUAAAUAAAAUGUAUUUAAAAAAAAAAAAUGGUGAGGCUCAGCCAUUGCACUCCGGCUGUGCUGAACCCUGCGAAUUUCCCAAAUGUGGAAAUCUCGAUUGCAUAAUUUCUGGUAGUGGGGGACUGCGUUCGCGCUCUCCCCUG
Small nuclear RNA from Esox lucius (northern pike), 144 nucleotides. Its record names the gene U1. It matches the Rfam family "U1 spliceosomal RNA". Rfam says of the family: U1 is a small nuclear RNA (snRNA) component of the spliceosome (involved in pre-mRNA splicing). Its 5' end forms complementary base pairs with the 5' splice junction, thus defining the 5' donor site of an intron. The record is from Ensembl. Lineage: Eukaryota; Metazoa; Chordata; Actinopteri; Esociformes; Esocidae.